GGGUCAGUAGGUUGGUCGUGCCACCGGUACGUACUGGUCUCACUGAUCCCUCCUUCCUGAAGAACCGUAAUGCCAUUAAUUUGGUGUUGCGGGGAAACAGGACUGUUACUUUGAAAAGAUUAGAGUGUUUAAAGCAAGCUAACGCUUGAAUACAUUAGCAUGGAAUAAUGAAAUAGGACGAUCGAUCCUAUUUUGUUGGUUUCUAGGAUUGACGUA
Molecule: ribosomal RNA, 216 nt
Filed under: Glomeromycotina sp.
Lineage: Eukaryota; Fungi; Glomeromycota
Description: partial small subunit ribosomal RNA
Rfam family: Eukaryotic small subunit ribosomal RNA (bases 75-216)
Source: RNAcentral